CUCUAUGAUUGAGAAUUAGAAUUUUCUAAUCAUGAGUUCCACACAUUUUGGGUACCGGGGUCAAAAUUUUGAAUUUGAAAUUUGAACUCUUUGAUCAGGGUUUCAUAUCGAUGGUCUCUGAUGCCUGAUUGCCCAUCGGAUUUGGACUCAAUAUUUAUGAGAGGUUUAAUUAGUGAUUUAAUCACUAAUUAACUCAAUUUGAUUGAAUAAUUAUUUUUGGAUCAAGUUCAAAUUUAAUUGGAUUCAGUUUGGAUUGACCCGAUUAGGUUAAAUGUUGACCUAAUCGCUAAGGUGGUUUAGUCUCUGAUUUGAUCAGGGGUUAGGUUUAGUUAAUUCCUGAUUUGAUUAGAAUUUUAUUGAGCUUAAUUAAGCCUAAUUAUGUUGGGUUUAAUCUGGUCUAAUUGUGCUUAACCUAUUUUAAACUAGGUUGGCUCAAUUUGAAUCAAACCACCUUGUUUUAAAUUCCCUGCGACACCCAACUUCCUUACACCCAUUUGUAUUCACGAGAAGAAACUUCUCAUGAAAUUUUUCUCACGCAAAACCCUUCCUCAAGCCCUCAUUUGUGCACCAUAUGGAUGGAUAAAAUAAUUAGUUAGCCAUUCAAAUUCAAAGCAUGUUUGAAUUUGAAUGGAUAACUUAUCACUUGCCCUUUCAUCCUUAUCCAUUUUGAGCGCCACAUUACUUACACGAGAAAAGGUUUCUCGUGAAAUAUUUUCCACGCACAA
RNAcentral lists this long non-coding RNA (725 nucleotides) under Elaeis guineensis (African oil palm). Its description in RNAcentral is "long non-coding RNA (EGUI_LNC005452)". The record is from RNAcentral. Lineage: Eukaryota; Viridiplantae; Streptophyta; Magnoliopsida; Arecales; Arecaceae.